RNAcentral lists this ribosomal RNA (465 nucleotides) under uncultured bacterium. RNAcentral describes it as "partial 16S ribosomal RNA". It matches the Rfam family "Bacterial small subunit ribosomal RNA", at positions 28 to 507 of the family's 1533-position model. The record is from RNAcentral.
GACGAACGCUGGCGGCGUGCUUAACACAUGCAAGUCGAACGGAAAGGCCCCUUUGGGGGUACUCGAGUGGCGAACGGGUGAGUAACACGUGAGUAACCUGCCCUUGACUUCGGGAUAACUUCAGGAAACUGGGGCUAAUACCGGAUAGGAAUCCUUGCUGCAUGGUGGGGGUUGGAAAGCUUCGGCGGUUUUGGAUGGACUCGCGGCGUAUCAGCUUGUUGGUGGGGUAGUGGCUUACCAAGGCUUUGACGGGUAGCCGGCCUGAGAGGGCGACCGGCCACAUUGGGACUUAGAUACGGCCCAGACUCCUACGGGAGGCAGCAGGGGGGAAUAUUGCACAAUGGGCGGAAGCCUGAUGCAGCAACGCCGCGUGCGGGAUGACGGCCUUCGGGUUGUAAACCGCUUUCAGCAGGGGCGAAGCUUGUGGUGACGGUACCUGCAGAAGAAGCACCGGCUAACUACGUG